This 254-nucleotide ribosomal RNA is filed under the name uncultured bacterium. RNAcentral's name for it is "partial 16S ribosomal RNA". It matches the Rfam family "Bacterial small subunit ribosomal RNA", at positions 524 to 776 of the family's 1533-position model. The record is from RNAcentral.
UACGUAGGGAGCAAGCGUUGUCCGGAAUCAUUGGGCGUAAAGCGCGCGUAGGCGGCGUGUUAAGUGCAAUGCGAAAUCCUGUGGCUCAACCAUAUGGACUGUAUUGCAUACUGGCAUGCUAGAGGACGGCAGAGGCAAGUGGAAUUACCGGUGUAGCAGUGAAAUGCGUAGAGAUCGGUAGGAACACCAAUGGCGAAGGCAGCUUGCUGGGCCGACCCUGACGCUGAGACGCGAAAGCGUGGGGAGCAAACAGG